Molecule: ribosomal RNA, 468 nt
Filed under: uncultured bacterium
Lineage: Bacteria
Description: partial 16S ribosomal RNA
Rfam family: Bacterial small subunit ribosomal RNA
Source: RNAcentral
GACGAACGCUGGCGGCGUGCUUAACACAUGCAAGUCGAACGGAAAGGCCCUGCUUUUGUGGGGUGCUCGAGUGGCGAACGGGUGAGUAACACGUGAGUAACCUGCCCUUGACUUUGGGAUAACUUCAGGAAACUGGGGCUAAUACCGGAUAGGAGCUCCUGCUGCAUGGUGGGGGUUGGAAAGUUUCGGCGGUUGGGGAUGGACUCGCGGCUUAUCAGCUUGUUGGUGGGGUAGUGGCUUACCAAGGCUUUGACGGGUACCCGGCCUGAGAGGGUGACCGGCCACAUUGGGACUGAGAUACGGCCCAGACUCCUACGGUAGGCAGCAGGGGGGAAUAUUGCACAAUGGGCGCAAGCCUGAUGCAGCAACGCCGCGUGCGGGAUGAAGGCCUUCUGGUUGUAAACCGCUUUCGCCUGUGACGAAGCGUGAUUGACGGUAAUGGGUAAAGAAGCACCGGCUAACUACGUG